ACUAACUAGGAUUCCCUUAGUAGCGGCGAGCGAACAGGGAUAAGCCCAGCGCCGAAUCCCGCGUCUUCGACGCCGGGAAAUGUGGCGUUUGGGAGGGUCCGUAUCUCGUGGCCGAACUGUUUGUUCCAAGUCCCUCUUGAACGGGGCCGUUCACCCAUAGAGGGUGCCAGGCCCGUAGGAUACGCAGUUUGCCGCGAGAGGAUUCCUCCUUAGAGUCGGGUUGCUUGAAAAUGCAGCCCUAAUUUGGUGGUAAACUCCAUCUAAGGCUAAAUAUUACCACGAGACCGAUAGCGAACAAGUACCGUGAGGGAAAGUUGAAAAGAACUUUGAAGAGAGAGUUCAAUAGUACGUGAAACCGUUAAGGUGUAAACCUGAGAAACCCGAAAGGUCGAACGAGGAGAUUCAGUCGCGUUUCGUACGAUGGGGCGUGUCGGAUUUGCGACGGCUGGCGCAUUUAUUUGUGACUUGCUGCGCUAUCUGCCGCUGCCAACGACGAACGCGUGCACUUCUCCUCUAGUAGGACGUCGCGACCCGUUGGGGGCCGAUUUGAGGCUCGCGGUGGAGCCCGCAUUGUACGCUUCGGCGUUAUGUGCGGACCCGCGGUGUCCCGACCGGCCAGCCGACGGUAUGAUUAAGGCGCGGGGCCGCGACUAGUUCGCGCUCGGCCCGUCGCAAACGCGGUCGGAAGUUCGUUGUUCGGACCUAGUGCCGACUUCGGGCUCCGGCGAUUGUUAGCGGCGGUGUCCUCGGGCAGACCCCGUAAGCCGGUCAGCGGCGCUAUAGCUUUGGGUACUUUCAGGGCCCGUCUUGAAACACGGACCAAGGAGUCUAGCAUGUGCGCGAGUCAAUAGGACUAGCGAAACCUAAAGGCGAAAUGAAAGUAAAGAACAGCUUCGCGCUUGUUCAAGGGCGGAUGGACGGCGCUAAGACGCCGUCUCGCACGCCACGGGCGUCCCGAUCUCAUUGCGAGAUGGGGCGCACCCAGAGCGUACAUGCUGGGACCCGAAAGAUGGUGAACUAUGCCUGGUCAGGACGAAGUCAGGGGAAACCCUGAUGGAGGUCCGUAGCGAUUCUGACGUGCAAAUCGAUCGUAGGAACUGGGUAUAGGGGCGAAAGACUAAUCGAACCAUCUAGUAGCUGGUUCCCUCCGAAGUUUCCCUCAGGAUAGCUGGCGCUCGUUUAUUACGAGUCUCAUCCGGUAAAGCGAAUGAUUAGAGGCAUUGGGGUCGAAACGGCCUCAACCUAUUCUCAAACUUUAAAUGGGUGAGAUCUCCGGCUUGCUCGAACGUGAAGCCGCGAGAUUUCGGAUCAGAG
RNAcentral lists this ribosomal RNA (1314 nucleotides) under Ochthebius sp. DDM0052. RNAcentral's name for it is "eukaryotic LSU rRNA". It matches the Rfam family "Eukaryotic large subunit ribosomal RNA", at positions 64 to 1119 of the family's 3401-position model. The record is from RNAcentral. Lineage: Eukaryota; Metazoa; Arthropoda; Insecta; Coleoptera; Hydraenidae.